RNAcentral lists this ribosomal RNA (322 nucleotides) under uncultured Synergistaceae bacterium. RNAcentral describes it as "bacterial SSU rRNA". It matches the Rfam family "Bacterial small subunit ribosomal RNA", at positions 1062 to 1382 of the family's 1533-position model. Lineage: Bacteria; Thermotogati; Synergistota; Synergistia; Synergistales; Synergistaceae. The record is from RNAcentral.
GUGUCGUGAGAUGUUGGGUUAAGUCCCGCAACGAGCGCAACCCCUGCAUUCAGUUGCCAUCGGGUGAAGCCGGGCACUCUGGAAGGACUGCCAUCGACAAGAUGGAGGAAGGUGGGGACGACGUCAAGUCAUCAUGGCCCUUAUGUCCAGGGCGACACACGUGCUACAAUGGCCGGCACAACGGGAAGCGAGUUCGCGAGGACGAGCGGAUCCCUUAAAGCCGGUCGCAGUUCGGAUUGAAGUCUGCAACUCGACUUCAUGAAGCUGGAAUCGCUAGUAAUCGCAGAUCAGCCAAGCUGCGGUGAAUACGUUCCCGGGCCUU